UACGAAGGGGGCUAGCGUUGCUCGGAAUCACUGGGCGUAAAGCGCACGUAGGCGGAUUGUUAAGUCAGGGGUGAAAUCCUGGAGCUCAACUCCAGAACUGCCUUUGAUACUGGCGAUCUUGAGUCCGGGAGAGGUGAGUGGAACUCCGAGUGUAGAGGUGAAAUUCGUAGAUAUUCGGAAGGACACCAGUGGCGAAGGCGGCUCACUGGCCCGGUACUGACGCUGAUGUGCGAAAGCGUGGGGAGCGAACAGG
Molecule: ribosomal RNA, 253 nt
Filed under: uncultured bacterium
Lineage: Bacteria
Description: partial 16S ribosomal RNA
Rfam family: Bacterial small subunit ribosomal RNA
Source: RNAcentral